UGGGGAAUAUUGCACAAUGGGCGAAAGCCUGAUGCAGCAACGCCGCGUGAGUGAUGAAGGCCUUCGGGUUGUAAAGCUCUGUCUUUUGGGACGAUAAUGACGGUACCAAAGGGGGAAGCCACGGCUAACUACGUGCCAGCAGCCGCGGUAAUACGUAGGUGGCAAGCGUUGUCCGGAUUUACUGGGCGUAAAGGAUGCGUAGGCGGAUUUUUAAGUGAGAUGUGAAAACCCUAAGCUUAACUUGGGGACUGCAUUUCAUACUGGAAAUCUAGAGUGCGGGAGAGGAGAAUGGAAUUCCUAGUGUAGCGGUGAAACGCGUAGAGAUUAGGAAGAACACCAGUGGCGAAGGCGAUUCUCUGGACCGUAACUGACGCUGAGGCAUGAAAGCGUGGGUAGCAAACAGGAUUAGAUACCCUGGUAGUCCACGCCGUAAACGAUGAGUACUAGGUGUAGGAGGUAUCGACCCCUUCUGUGCCGCAGUUAACACAAUAAGUACUCCGCCUGGGAAGUACGAUCGCAAGAUUAAAACUCAAAGGAAUUGACGGGGUC
This 549-nucleotide ribosomal RNA is filed under the name uncultured bacterium. RNAcentral's name for it is "partial 16S ribosomal RNA". It matches the Rfam family "Bacterial small subunit ribosomal RNA", at positions 355 to 920 of the family's 1533-position model. The record is from RNAcentral.